UGGGGAAUCUUGCACAAUGGGGGAAACCCUGAUGCAGCGACGCCGCGUGAGCGAUGAAGCCCUUCGGGGUGUAAAGCUCUUUCGGCAGGAACGAUAAUGACGGUACCUGCAGAAGAAGCUGCGGCUAACUACGUGCCAGCAGCCGCGGUAAUACGUAGGCAGCAAGCGUUGUUCGGAGUUACUGAGCGUAAAGAGUGCGUAGGCGGUCCUCUAAGUUCGGUGUGAAAUCUCCCGGCUCAACUGGGAGGGUGCGCCGGAAACUGGAGGGCUUGAGUAUGGGAGAGGAAAGCGGAAUUCCUGGUGUAGCGGUGAAAUGCGUAGAUAUCAGGAGGAACACCUGUGGUGUAGACGGCUUUCUGGACCAUGACUGACGCUGAGGCACGAAAGCGUGGGGAGCAAACA
Molecule: ribosomal RNA, 402 nt
Filed under: uncultured prokaryote
Description: bacterial SSU rRNA
Rfam family: Bacterial small subunit ribosomal RNA
Source: RNAcentral